This 447-nucleotide ribosomal RNA is filed under the name uncultured bacterium. RNAcentral describes it as "partial 16S ribosomal RNA". It matches the Rfam family "Bacterial small subunit ribosomal RNA", at positions 329 to 792 of the family's 1533-position model. The record is from RNAcentral.
GACCAGACUCCUACGGGAGGCAGCAGUGGGGGAUAUUGCACAAUGGGGGGAACCCUGAUGCAGCGACGCCGCGUGGGUGAAGGAGUGCUUCGGCAUGUAAAGCCCUAUCGGCAGGGAAGAAGCAAGACGGUACCUGACUAAGAAGCCCCGGCUAACUACGUGCCAGCAGCCGCGGUAAUACGUAGGGGGCGAGCGUUAUCCGGUUUCACUGGGUGUAAAGGGAGCGUAGACGGCCAUGCAAGCCAGGGGUGAAAGCCCGGGGCCCAACCCCGGGACUGCUCUUGGAACUGCGCGGCUGGAGUGCAGGAGGGGCAGGCGGAAUUCCUGGUGUAGCGGUGAAAUGCGUAGAUAUCAGGAGGAACACCGGUGGCGAAGGCGGCUUACUGGACGGCAACUGACGCUGAGGCUCGAAAGCGUGGGGAGCAAACAGGAUUAGAUACCCCAGUU